Molecule: ribosomal RNA, 253 nt
Filed under: uncultured bacterium
Lineage: Bacteria
Description: partial 16S ribosomal RNA
Rfam family: Bacterial small subunit ribosomal RNA
Source: RNAcentral
UACGUAGGGGGCAAGCGUUGUCCGGAUUUAUUGGGCGUAAAGCGCGUGUAGGCGGCAUGGCAAGUCGGGUGUGAAAGCCCUCAGCUCAACUGAGGAAGUGCGCCCGAAACUGCUUUGCUUGAGUGCUGGAGAGGGUCGCGGAAUUCCCCAAGUAGAGGUGAAAUUCGUAGAUAUGGGGAGGAACACCGGUGGCGAAGGCGGCGACCUGGACAGUAACUGACGCUGAGACGCGAAAGCGUGGGUAGCAAACAGG